RNAcentral lists this long non-coding RNA (18390 nucleotides) under Oryza sativa (Asian cultivated rice). RNAcentral's name for it is "long non-coding RNA (OSAT_LNC001893)". Lineage: Eukaryota; Viridiplantae; Streptophyta; Magnoliopsida; Poales; Poaceae. The record is from RNAcentral.
GGGACGCGCCUGAACUGGAUGUCGAUGAUGCCCGAGUGGCGGAGCUUGUCGUUGAGCCCCGGCUUGGCCAUGGCGCCGAACGCCGUGCCGCUCAGGUCGAAGUGGUACCUGGCCACGGGGUAGUAGUUCAUGUCGGUGAUGAUCACCGUCUCGAUGUUGCCCGAGCACGACGGGUCCUUGUUGCACCUGAUCUGUAACAACCAAGUCAAACAAAUGGUCAACAAAAUGUGCCGCACUGCAUGUUACUCCUACAUGCAUGCUAUAGAAAAAUGUAGUAGUAGUACGUCCUGACCAAUCAAAUCAAAUGAUUGCUAAUUGCAAAAUUGGUGCCAUGGUGAAGUAAUUUGACUAGUUUUUUCGUACCUGGUAGCAUGAGCCGCAGCCCUUGCCGUCCUUGAAGAUGGGCUCGUUGCCGCAGGAGGUCAUGGACGAGAAUGGGUACUGGUUCACGUUCUUGAACCCGCAAGCGCCGCCUGCAAAUUAAAACCGACCAAAUAAUGCCAAUGCGUCAGUUCAGAGACCAAGCAAAAGCACAGAUGAGCACCACAAGCAUCAUCAGUAGCUGCAAAAUGCGCACCGUUGUCGUCAGGGCCGGCGCCGGUGGGAGCGCCAUACCAGGUUGCCCGGGCAGGGAGCCAGCCGGAGCCGUAGGCGGAGGCGUCGGAGACGUUGUAGUUCACAGGAUGCCCCUUGCAAGAGCCAUGCACCACGAGCACGGACAGAAUCGCGAGGAUUGCAGCGACCUUGCUGCCCAUUCUGGCUGCCAUCCUAGCUAGCUCGAAAAAUCUUCAGCUCGGAGAAGAGCAGUAGGCUAGCUAGAACUGGCAGCAGCAGCAGUAGUAGUGGUAGUAAGUAUUGUCUGGUGUGUGGUUUGAUGGUUGGAAUCGGAGGCCAUUGCCGGUGUAUUUAUAGGCAGGGCAAAACGAGAGGGGAAGGGAACCAAAUGUAAUGGACGAGCAACACGGCGGCAUCAAGGGGUCGUUGCACCCGACGUGGCCACCGGCCGGCGUGGUAGAGAGAGAGCUAGCUGUGUCACAUGGCUAGGGAGAAAAUCAUGGACGGAUGGAGGGUUCGGUUCACGAGUUCGUACCAUUAUAAAAUCACAUCUUUGGCAGUUAUCCCAUGUUAUGAUAUUGUGGACGAUACGUACCUGCCAAAUGAUCGAUCGUAUGAAUUUUUUUUUUGUGGUAAGGAAGAUGAAUGAUCGAUUAUAUUCCAGAAUAUGUAUAUAGUUUCUCGUUUCAGAUUUAGAUCGAUGCAUGCACAGAUCGAUUGCAUGAUGGGUCAUUGACGUUGUUUCGGGGAACGGAAGAGAUUCCAUAAUAAGGCACCAGAAAUAACCACGCAAUCACAGAGAGAGAUCAAUCAGCAGGGGCAGGUUGAUUAGGGACAAUAAUCUCGGUAUCAUUUGAAGCAAUCAUUUGUACCCAACGCUCUUCUAGGGUGACCAUAUCAUUGUAGUAUCACCAUUGUGCGUAACUAACGCGUAGGUAGUGUGAAACCACCUAGUGACCGUCCUAAAUAUAAUCGCCAACUCUAAUAUUGUAUUGACAGAGUGACACGGUAGUGUGAUACAUAUGUGCAUAGACAGCAUAGUUGCAUACUAGCCGUAUUUUUGUCCCUUACAAAAAUGUGGAUAUAUAUGGUAGUUACAACUUACAGGAUACCCUGCAAAAAGUGAAUGGAAAGAAGGCAUCUCACUAAGAUUCAGGACACAUGCCAAGCACGACUUUGCUGACUUCCCACCGGUGUUUUAAGGGCACCCGCAAUGAUUAUUUAUAAGCUCUUUACAAGAGAUCCAUGUCAGCAUAUUUUUCUACUUGGAAGUGAUUAAAUGAAGAGAGAGAGAGCAAAGCUAUCUACUAACCUGAAGAUAGUUUAUAGAGAAAAACGAGACAAUAGAUUAGAGAGCUAUAGAUUCCCAUGUAGACAUACCAUUGAAGUGGUUUAAUAUUAAUCUAAUUUAUUGCUGAGAUGUACAUGUUUUAUAGAUAACACCUUACUUUACCAUUACAGGUGCUCUUAAGUAAAAAAAAUGAUGCGAGGAUAUACCGAUCACAUCCACACAGUGAUACAAUCAUUGACAUAUGCACCGUAUCGAGAUACGGUGCUUUGGGCUCUGGCUGGUGAGUCUGGUUAUAUAGUAGUAUAUACACUGACACAUCCAUUAGUAACUGUGAAUAGUGAAUUAGAGCACCCGCAAUGGUAAAGUAAGGUGUUCUCUAUAAAACAUGUACAUCUCAGCAAUAGACUAGAUUAAUAGUAAACCACCUCAAUAGUAUGUCUACAUGGGUAUCUAUAGCUCUCUCAUGCAUUGUCUCGUUUUUCUCUAUAGAUUAUCUCCAGGUUAGUAGAUAGCUUUGCUCUCUCUCUCUUCAUUUAAUCUAUUCCAAGUAGGAAAAUAUGCUGACAUGGAUCUCUUAUAGAGAGCCUAUAGAUAACCAUUGCGGGUGCCCUUACUCCCUCAAUUUCAAAUUGAUCUAUAUAUUUCAUGGGUACACCAAGAUCAAGAAAAGCUAAUAACUCUCUCAUACUAUAUUUACUCUAGCAACAAACUCAAUGCAUACAUCAUCCCCAUUAUUUCCUAGCCAAUAGCAAAUCAAGAUAUUGCAUGUGGGUUAUAAAUGCUUGUGUACGCAUGGAUGCAUGCAUCAAUGUCCAUUUAUUCCCAGGCACAAAUAACGAAUAGACCUAAUAAAUGAACACAAAUAUGUAAAUCAUUUAGGAAUAACCUCAAAAAAAAACUAUAUGUAGAUCAAUUUGAAAUUGAGGGAGCAGUACUAAACAUGUACAAAGGCAAUGUGUAAAAAACUAGAAGAGGCAUCAAGAGAAUUUUUUUUUUAUCAUAGCAAAGGCUCUAUACUGCAAACACGGGUCUUAAACACCAAGCAUAGCAAAGGGGUUCUUCCCUUAAUACCAGGUACUUUAAAUAAAGAUUACUAUGUCCGUCCCAGAAUAUAAAGAGUUUUAGAGUUAGACAUGGUUAUUAAUAAAGUAGGUAAAAAGAAAUUAUAGAAUAUUAUGAUUGGUUGAUAAGUGAAGGUUUGUGGGAAAAUUGAAUGGUGAAGGGUUGUAAUUGGUUGAGAAUGGAAUGUUGGUGAAUAAGUUGUUAUAUUUUGGGACAAAUCCUAAAGGCUAAAAGUUGUUAUAUUUUGAGAUGGAGUGAGUAGUAUUCAUGAAGAAAUCCACUUUAAUUUCCAUGGGUGUGAGAGGCGGAUCUAGGGCUUGAGCCCCCAUGAAGCCCCCACAUGUUUUUUUUUCAUACGUAGAUAGGAGAGCGGACUGUUGUAGCUUUGUUCUAGUUUGUUCAGACAUUACUACUAUUCUUCUUGGAUCCGCCCCUGAUGGGUGUUGAUCCUAUUAUAGAGUUAGGUGUGUUCUAUACACUACACAAAUCUCUAUUAUAUUUAUGCAUAGUGUGUGAACUCACCUUAAUUAAUACUCAUGGGGUUUAUAUGAAUGCUCUAACACUAUCUGCACUAUCUACUGAUUAGCUAUACCCAGUGUCAGAUGUACCGUAAAUUCUCAAGGAAUUUUAGAACCACAAUCUAAAUAUUAAGUUGUAGCUCGGAUUAGGCCUGUGCAACAAGCAAGACCAAUAAAAUCUAAAUACAUGAUAUUGUUCUGGGGUGAAACCUACGUACUCAUGAUGUAGCGAGUUGAAUUAGGUUACACUCCUUUUUAUUUGGCAAAAAUACAUUUUUAACACGAAAUUUGUGUUCCAAAAUCAAAGCCAUGAGAAUUUUAAUUUAAAACAUUAUGGACAAAUCAAUCCAUAAAGGAACCUUAAAGAAAAAAGUGAUUAUUCAAAAGAUAACAGAGCAAGCUAUUAUAGUGGGUCCAUAAUUUUCUGAAUUUUUCUCCAUUUUGUCCUUUACCUCAUCCAAACAUCUAUUUUCCUAGAAUUUAUAUGUUUUUGAAUCAUCUAUUUUACACGUGCAUUUCUGUCCUAUUCUUGUAUUUUUCAUGUAUUCCUCUAUUUCAAAAUUAUAUGUUUCAAAGGAGCCCUUAAGUUUCCCAUACGGCCAUACCCAUUGGACAUAAGUAAAACUCUGGACUCAUGUUUUUAAAACUCAAGUUCACACUAUACAGCUUCAAAUUUUUGCUGAAAUUUGUUAGGACAUCACCUGUCAGGGACCCACGUCUCUAUGACUUUACGUCAGAGGAGCUCCGUUCGGCUGGGCCUUAGCUCCACCAUUGGUAGUGAGGUGGAUCAAGUUUUAUUGAUACUUUGUAUAUAGGAUUUUUUUUUGAACCUUCAGGUAUGCUUGUAUCUUACUUUACUUACACAGCUGUGGGUGCGUCCUCUAAUACAUGUUGAAAGAAAUGAAUAGACCAACGGCAACUCCCUACUCUUAUAAAAGUCCUUUUGAAAGCGGAGUUGAGGGUGUGAGCACGACUAUGUCUCCAUAGUAUUGGUACUUUGCCAACUCCUACCUAUUUUGUACUCUCUUUACUUGAUAUAAGUUCCCCUUUUUUUUUCUCAACUAUCAUCUAGUUUUACUGCUUCUAAUCAAAGAAUGGAACUUAGGGCAUGUUUGGUAGAGCUCCAACUCUUAAAUUUAGUUUCAGGAGUUAAGUCUGAAGUGAAGUUGUGGAGCAGCCUAUACACAGCUCCACCUCUCUGGUUCAUUUUAUGAGAGUGCUUCACCCAACUUCGCUCUUAUUUUAGGCAGAGAUGAAAUUGUUUGGCUGAGCUCCAGCAUUAGGAGAGGUGAAGCUGAAGCUAGAGUUUUACCAAACAGACCCUUAGACAAAGAAUUGGCUGAUACGGAAUGCAGACUGUGAUUUAAUUAAUUUGUCUUUGGAUAAUAAAAUUAAGUCAACUUCAGUUAGAACAUGCCCUACCCCAUCAUUACAAACUUACACCACACAAAACCGCGCGCUCACACGCAAGAACAUGCACCAUGGCCGCUGCAACCGUGCUGCUUCCAGCUUACGGUACAUGGCUUCACGCAAGACAGUGUAAUGAACCUCGACCACACAUGACGGACGUUUUUGUUGUGCGUACGCGCCCGGGGCACCUCACGUGCAUCCGCCGUAGUACGGCUCGCGUGUACUGAGCAACCCAUGCUGCUGCUGCUGCUAAUGGUGUGAUAUUGUACUACUCUGUGAUCUGAUAAGCAAACACACCGUAUUAAUUCAGUUCAAUUACAAACUUGGUUUUGGUCACAAUACAAUAAGUCUGCCAAUCCGGUAUAUAUAUAUGGCAUAUUGGCAUUGGGUCAUUUGUCAAUGUGGGCGGUUCAGAGCAAGCACAUGGAUACUGCGUGCCCUGCCCCUGUUCCAUUUCCCACACAUCUCGCUGACACACACAACUACAAAUUAAAAAGAGAGAGAGAAAAAAACGCUCUUAAUUGAUCCGUUCGCAAUUUGCAUUGCAAUCACACACACACACACACACACACAGAAUCGUAGUACAGUACUAGUGCCGAACUGCCGAUCGGUAGAAUCAAAAUUCGUUCUUGACCGGCGACACAAGACGACGAAGGCAUUGCAUGCACAUAGGUAGAUCGAUCGAUGGAUCAACGGAACUGGACUUUGGAGCCGUAGUUGGUGUUGGCCCUCCAGUUGGCCGGGAUGACCUGGUGGGCGAUGACGGUCUGGCCGGACUCGCUGACCAUGCGGAGGGAGAAGGGGCCCUGGAGGCGGUGGUUGGCGUCGAGGCGCCAGAUGGAUCCCCAGGAGCGGCGCAUGGGCGUCCAGACCCGCGUCGGCUUGCCGCUGGGGAGCGACUCCAUGACGUCGAGCUGCACCACCGUGCCGUCCUUGUUGGCGAACUCCACCAGCACGGCGAGGUACACCGGGUUGGACCCGGCCUCGACGUGGAAGUUCACGUAGAGGCCGCGGUGGUAGCACGGGACGCGCCUGAACUGGAUGUCGAUGAUGCCGGCGUGGCGGAGCUGGUCGUUCAGCCCCGGCCUCGCCAUGGCGCCGAACGCCGUGCCGCUCAGGUCGAAGUGGUACCUGGCCACGGGGUAGUAGUUCAUGUCCGUGAUGAUCACCGUCCUGGGCUGCCCGGAGCACGACGGGUUGUUGGUGCACCGUAUCUGAUGAUGAGGAAUAUAAUUAAGGGCAAAAUUAAUCCAUAUGUGCAUGUAAUUAAGCAGCAGCUAGCACAAAGUCAAACGCUGAACUGAAGAACGUGUUACCCACGGAUUUCAAGGCCCGUUGACCAAUCAAGUUGUGAUUACCACCAACUGCAGUUAACGUGGCGGGCAGUACGGUGCUCGUAAACAAAAUUAUGUUGGUACGGAUUUAUUUAUGAUCAGAAGUUCCAUACCCACUGUUUUGUACACUUUUCAGAUGUAGGGUACAAAGGUUAAUGUUGAGAUGUACUAUUUAUUGGAGACCGUGUCGAUAAGCCAAAACAACAUAUGUGAUCACGAACGUGGUUAUACUAUACCUGGUAGCAGGCGCCACAGCCCUUGCCGUCCUGGAACAGAGGCUCGUUGCCGCAGGAGGUCAUGGACAUGAACGGGUACUGGUUGGUGUUCUUGAACCCGCACGCACCGCCUGCGUAUCGAUCGAACAAUGCCAAUGCGUGUCAGCAUUCGAAUGUCAGAAGAGCACAUACGUACGACAGCGUAAUUUGCAAAAAAUGCAUGUACUACACGCACCGUUGUCGUCGGGUCCGGCGCCGUUGGGCUGGCCGUACCAGGUGGCCUUGGCCGGGAGCCAGUCGUUGGUGUAGACGACGCCGGCGGCGAAGCCGUACGUGGCGAGCACGGAGAGCAGCAUCGCGACGACCUUGGCAGAGGCCCCAGCCAUCUUGGGAACUCCCUCUGCUACGUACGUACAAAAGCCUGUACUACUACCUUGUCUGCUUUGUGUUUUGGCGAGAGGAGAUUUGCCCGUGUAUUUAUAGGCAGAAUUAGGCUAACUGGCAAAAACGAAAAAAACCGGAUCGAUCGGCAACUUGGCACCGAUAAGUCGUUGCACCCGACGUGCGUGCCGUGUGUAUGUGAGAGAUCGAUCGAGCGAGCUAGCUCGGUCUAGUCACAUGGCGCUGGAGCGAAUCGUGGAGGAAUGGAGAUUAAGCCUCGGUAAACGAGAAUUCCUAUUGUCAAAUCGCAUCUUGGCAGGGCGGUUAUGGCAUGUUGGGGAGGUACACUCUCGUACAGUGCAGUACGUCAUUACCUGCCAAUCAUUACUAUGUACAAGUCAACCAUCGCUUGCAGAAAGUCGGUCGGUUUUCGUAAACCGUCGGAUCUCAACACCCACCGUGCUUGGAUUGUUAACACGUGUAUAUAUCCCUCCUCUCGCUCAUAUAGGUAGCUAACGUACGUGACAGUACUGCCCUAACAUUCUUACCGUGGUCUCUACCGUUACGAGUUACGACCGAUUUAUUAAAAAAAAAUCAGUUUUAUUAUUGGACACAUAUUACCCCUCCCCUCUCCUCUGUCCUCGCCGGAUACGAUGAGGAAGGGGACAGCUUCUCGUAAGUUUUUUGAGUUUUUUUCAAUGUAGGUUGGAACUAUUUGGUGUCUAAGGUUUGCCUUUCAUGUUUUUCAUGGAAUUAAAUCUAUUUAGAUUUUUUCUUGUCUUUUUUAAUCUAUGUGUUGCUGGCUACUUCAUUCGUGAGGUCCUCGAUGGAAAUCAAGGAGACUUGCCUGUCGGUCAUCAAAUAUUACAUUGUUGGCGUUAGUUUUAGGUUCCAAAUUGUCGACUUGUUCGGUGGUAUUGGUUUGCUCUUUUGUCGAAGGAUAUAUGAAUAUGGUGAGCAAUAUUCAUUUUACAUGUUUUUGCGUGUGUUACAAUGUCAGCAUUGUGGCUACACUCAUUUGCUCAUAUCUCUUGCGGUAUUUCAAUAUGUGGAGCCUCCUUGUUCUGUGUUGGUAGUUCUUUUAUUUCCAGAUAUUGCAACAAAAAGAGUUGUAAUCUCUUUUAUAAUUUAAUAUGAGCUGCCCUGUUUUGCAAAAAAAAAAGAUAAAAGUUUCUAGUAAUUGAGCUGGUAAAAAAAUAUUAAUAUGGUCGCUGUGAUAAUAUAAAAAUGGAAGGUUUAGGAGAAUAUGAUUUCUACCCCUUAUAAAUAUCAUGGUAUUUUUCGAAUCUCUCGGUUCUUUCCACUGCGUGUCAUACAGCAGCCCUAUAAUACAAUUAUUUUUCGUGUCACACCACCGUUAUCUUCAUGACACACUCCCUAGUCAUUGCCCCAUCCCCUUCCCUGCACACCACAUCAUUGCUAAUGUGUACCACUUAUAGCACCAUGGACAAGCCAAAAUGCUUAAAGAAAAACGCGAGAAGAAGAAAUGUAUCGUUUUCCUUGCAGAGACUCGCUAACAGUGAUCUGAUUAGCGACAACUUCACCAUAAAUACCAAUGAUGGCCAAACGCGAUAUUUGGUUUGGUUUCGUAUAAGGUUUAAAAGAGGACACUUGUCGUUACUUUAAUGGAAGAUGCAUAUGAGUACUUAUGGAGAACUGGGAGUGUUCUUUUUAGCUUAUCGAUUUAUGGAAUAUACUAUGUUUCAUAUUAUAAAAAAAAAUUUCUAAAAAACUGAUCACAUUUAAAUAAGUUUAUUUAGAAAAAAAUGUUUCAAAAAAAGUUUAUUUAGAAAAUAUGUAUUAUAAUACGAAACAAAGGGAGUAUGUAUCGAUGAAUACUUCUCCAAAUACACCACUGAAAACUACAUUGUCGACUACCAAUGAAAAAAUAUAAUUAUUUAUAAAUACAAACACAUCUGUUAAAUCUGAUAUUUAAAUAUGGGCGAUUAGGUUUCAGUGCAAGGAGCCUUACCAGCUUAUUAGUUACUCAGUUCGCUUCUCUUUUUUCAUCUCUUUUUUUUUCUACUCCAGUGAUGUAUAGAAAUCCAUUAUCUUCAUAUUCUACUCUAUGACGUUGGGUUGGAUUAGGAGACGGAAGUCACGGGCAGAUAAGCCAGCUAGAAACCAAACUGCAAUAGUAUUUCCGUCGCUUUUAUUUCGUGAGCACCGAGCCCGUACGCAAGAAAAAUAAAAUACGUGUCAAAUGCAUUAUGGAGCGAGAAAUAACAGUACAAAUACAGGAAGCAUACGACAAAUGGAUACGGAGGACUACGUGGCUCGCCGACACGGUCACAGUCGAGCAUGCCUUUCAUAGUUGCAUCCACGAAUACAUAGAUGUACUCCCUCCGUUUUAAAAUGUUUAACGCCGUUGAUUUUUUAGCAUAUAUUUAAUCGUUUGUCUUAUUUAUAAAAUUUAAGUAAUUAUUAAUUCUUUUCCUAUCAUUUGAUUCAUUGUUAAAUAUAUUUUUAUGUAGGCAUAUAAUUUUACAUAUUUCACAAAAGUUUUUGAAUAAGACGAACGGUCAAAUAUGUGCUAAAAAGUUAACAGUGUCAAACAUUUUGAAACGGAGGGAGUACAUGUUUAAUUACCUCGAUCAUAUCCAUGAUCAUUGGAAUCAAUCAUUUUGUAGUAUCUAUUGUCUCGGAGCACGUUCGUUAAUGCCUGCAACUAACCAUAUGCGUGCAACCACGUUAUACCGACCAAAAUUCAUUUUGGUCGUUGAAAAAAGAUAUGAUAUCAUCGUGAUAUGUGCAUGUGUCUACCGGUCAUGCUGCUAUUAUCCCAUAAAAAUUGUGAAAUGGUAGCUGGACAGAGCGAUCGACGCUGUAAAGAGUUAUUUAAACUGAUUUCUGACGUUUCAAAGAAACCACGUAAUUUCAUUCAACUUAUAUUCGAAAAGAAAAGAGAAUAAAUCUAUUUUUUGAAAUGGAGUACUAGUUACCAAACUUGUAUUUUGUGAUAGCCUUCAACUGUGCUUAUGGUAAGAGUUUAAACCUUUGUAGGGGUAGGAAAAAACACUCAGGCUUAUAUUGGUUUGGUUUGGCUCGAUCGAUAGCCAAACGAGCAGAGCCAAAGCCUCCUCCGAACCUCAUUUCUAGAAUGAGCUGGGUUCGAGCUAGCUCAUGAGUUAUUCGGUAGCUCGCGCUAGCCAGCCUAUUAUAGUUUGGUUUAUUUGUCUAGCUCAAAGAUAAGCACUAGUAAAAACCCUAAUUCUCUCUAUUCUUUUGGGGCAGAUGACAGCGCAACAGGAGUGCAUACUCAUGCUACACCGCCAAGUCAUGCACACAGAAAAUAGCGUAGAAGGGAGCCACAUUUGUACGAUUACACAAUAUUGACUUACGCCUACGCUGACAACGCAACCAACUAGUCGCUUCCCCCUCAAUUGAAAUUGGAAAUAACGUCGCCGCUCCUUGCCAGCUUGUCCUCGCAGGUGUAGUUUACAACCUAUGAGUCACAAGUUCGAAUGCCUGGGUAAGGGGCGUGGUGCGCUAGACUUGGCCUCCACCUAUGCUUCAAUCUCUCCAAUGUCUAUCAUUGCUUGUCUGUUUCGCAACUGUUCAAGUGAAGAGGCUCGUGAGCCAGAUCGAGUUGGCUCAAGCUAGAAAACAUAGGGCCUGUUUGGGGAGCUUUAGAUUCUGAAAAGUAGCUGUUUGGUAGCCAGCUUCUAAGAAUCUGGAAAAGCUCUGAAACCCAGCUUCUGGCUUCUUAGUUUAUUUUUCAGAAUCUUUAACUACAUAUUCUCAAAAGCUGUGGACUGUUAGGGGCAGUUUCUAGCAGAAGCAGCUUUUGGGAAAAGCUACAGCUGGGACAAGCUCCCCCAAACAGCGACAUAGUAUUUCCAAUUAGCUGAUUUAUAUAUUAGCAUGGACUACUCAACAUAAUCUAGGGUCAUGAUAAUCCAACCCAUCAAAUUAACAGCCGGUUCUUUCUGUAGCUUGUGAGUAUCCUUAGAGUGACCAAUUAGUAUAGGUAUAAAUGCUCAGUCUAAUUAAGGUUAGACACAAAUUUGUAUGCAAGUGUAGUUGCUCUCUCAAACAUAUGUUUCUUAGGUUAAAAAGAAAAGGAAAAAAAACAUUAUUCAACCAGACACCCGUAUAAUAAGUAGUUGCACCAAACAAAGUUUUCAUAAUCCAACUCAACAACAAACAAAUCCAUAAAGCUAUCGUUACCAAAGUGACAAAAAAAAGAACAAACUCUUUGUAAGAAAGUAAACUCCCCCAAGCAUGGCAUUUGUAAUUUCCAUGGUCAACUUCAGUUUUAGUCCUUAAAAGAUGAAAACGUGAAGCUUGGAAGUAUUUAAUUUGCACUCGAACUGACCAAGAAUUUCAGCGCAUGCCAAAAAUACUAAAAAUUACUUCAACCCUGACAGGACUGACAGGUUUAAUAUCGUUUACUCCUACCAUUGACUUGUCACGGAUGCCCUCCAGUACAAGAGAAAAUCUCUUAUAUACCCCUGAAAUUUUACCUAAUCCCUUCUAUACCCCUGAAUUUUGCUUACUUCCUUGUAUACCCCCAAAAUUUGAUUUUGAUCCCUUGCAUACCCCUCCCAUCAGUUGACCGUUAGUUGACCGUCUAUUUUCCAUAAAAAUGACCAUUUUACCCUUGGAUGAACAAAGAAAUUCAUGAAUUACAUUAUUAAAAAUAUAAAAGCUUCUCGCAUGAGACUAUUAUAGUUAUGAGUUUGUUGUGCGAUGCAUUAUUUAUCCCAAAAAUAUUUUUAGAUCAUGAAAUAAAAAACACGUAUUUAUUUUUUUAAAAAAAGUCAUAAAAAUGAGGAGCAUUCAUAUAAAGAUAGGACUACCAAUGUUCAUAACAUUUUUUUUAUGAAUGCUCCCGAUAAAAAAAUCCAUUGUCCUAUUAAAAUUUGAAAUAAAAAUUUUAAUUUAUUACAUUUAUUUUAUUUUCAAAAUUUAUGUCAAAAUUUUCUGCACUAAUUAUUUAGUUUCAUUAGUCUUAUAAAAUGCACAUACUGUGCACCCAAACAAAAUUUUUUCAAUUAUUUUUUAAGCUUAUAUUUAAACCUAAAGCAUCUAGGGCAAAAAGGAUAUUUGCAACCAAACGUAACAGUGAAAUGAUGGAAAAUGUAACGGUAGGGGCAUGGAAGGGAUCAAAUUGAAUUUUCAGGGGUAUAGAAGGGAUUGGGUAAAUUUCAGGGGUAUGAAAGGAAUUGAGUGAGUUUUCAGGGGUACACAGGAAAUUUACUCCCAGUACAAAGUGCAGUGGACUGGAGACGAGUAAGGCCAUGAGAUUGCAAAUGGACGGCCACGAUCCGACGACUUCUAAGCCAUGCGUUUACAAGGGUCCCUGCUCUCCGUCCAUUUCACUUCCUGGAUGAUGAAUUGAUGAUGCGGACUGACACAUAUAUGGUGCAAAUAGUGGGCGCACGUGACAUUGCCACCAUAGUCUCCACCGUGGGUUUCCCUGACACGUUAACUGGCGUGCGCGAGUUUUCUUUUAUCCGCCAGAGUAUUGCAAGUGAAUGGUACUCCUCACAUGCGCGUCUACUUGGCACCUGCGCGACGACGCCUCCUUCCGUGCUUCGGUUGCCCAAACAUCUCUCGUCCACCGCCGCACGCAACGCACUCGAUCGUUGAAAUCAGCACAUGAAUAACAGCACAUCACCGCAAACGGAUGAGAUGCCGUGGCUGCUCUUCUCAGCUCAGGCUCAGCGCGAGCGUGCGAUGCAGCAAGCGGAACAGAGCGCCGGCCGCGCGUGCCAAACGGCCAGCGAAACACAAGGUAGCUGCUCGCCUCGCCCGACGGUGCGCCGGCGCCGGCGAUCGGGUGAGAACGUACGGUGUUUGCUUACCAGCUAGCCGUUCACAUGCAAAGCUGUUACCAAAUCGGAAAAGGCUCGUUAACGGUUUUCCCGGUUUCCGUAAAAACCACCGAACACAGUUGAAGGGAUAAUUUUUAAAAGAGUACAUUGCGCAUUGGGCCUCCUAUUUUGACUUAAAGUUGCAUAUUGGACUAGGUACUGAUAAAAAAUUCACUUUGGGUUAGGUUUGUUUACUCCAUGACACUUUGCACUUUGGACUAGCAGCCCCAUGUGUCAGUGCCCAACAAUCCUCUUCCUCAUCAGUUUACUUUGACCUGUGAGCUGCGCUCUCUCGCUUACAUGAGCAAACUCAGUGUCGAGCCGUCGAGGAGCACCUGCUCCCCUGUGGUAGUGCUUGUUAUUGGAGUUAAUCCUUAAACAUGUACUUAGGAUAUGCAUGAUUACCUAAUUUUUUAUGUGGAAUUUGGUGUUUUACUGACCGGAUCUUGAUGAAGCCAUGAGUCACGUCAGUGUACUGGUAGUAGGGCGUUGGUGAUGGAGAUCACCGAGCGGCAGUGGCGACGGAAUUCGCCCUGGUGCGGCGGUGGCAAUAGGAAUUCGACCUUCGCUCCCCUCCAGCACGUCUUAAGAUCAUUAGUCUGAUGGUUUUGGGAAUGGUUUAGAGUACAUGAGUUGUCACUCGUGCAUGAGUCUCACUCUUCAAAGUCAAGGAGCGUGUGAGCCUUGGUGGGCUGAGCCCAAUGCUCUCCUUUCUGGCUCGGUGGCCAAAGAUCAACCAACACUUGUGCCCCCCACCUAACGAGAAGCUUGAGGACCAUGGCUUGAGUUCUCACAAUUUGUUGUUAGUUUCCAAAUCCAACGCAUGAAAGAUUGAUCCUCUUCCGUUAGUGAUUAUUGAAUCCAGCUCAAACACCACCUUAUAAAGGAACUGUACACUGAUAAUGUGCUCGUCAAGAUUGCCCUGAUGAGAGAAGAAAGAAAGGGCUGGGACAGAUGGAGAGAACGUUGCCUCAAAGUGAGACCAGGUAUAAACUUAGCCGGUCCAAAAUGAAAACUUUCUCUUAUCCUUAGCCAAACUUGCAAAACAGGUAAAAACAAGUGAUCCAAUGUUCAAUGCACUCUUUUUUAAAAAUUUAAAAUUUUAUUUGAAUUUUUUUAAUUUUGAUAUGUUUAUCAUGUAGCUUAUCACCUUGAGCGGUUGAGCCAACUUAAAACCUUGAAAUUUCACGAGUGGUGGGAGGAGCGUGUAGCACGCGAAGAAGUACCCAAGUAUAAGUUAUGAUACUUACUUCAACUAACAACCUAAGAAAUAGAUAAAUUUUAGUAUCUCAAGGUAUCUAAAUUUACACUGAAAUCUUUUGUAAUUUAAGGUACUUAAUAUCUGGAAGUACCAAAUUUUACACUAAAAAUAUGGUAUCUUCAAGUAUUUUUUCAAUGAUGAUAAAGUUAAUUAAGAAAUAUGGAAGAAGAGAAAUCAAAUAGGCUUUCAGCAAAUAGGACUGUCAAUGACAGCAUUCCAAACAAAAACGGAGGGGAAAACAUGAGCGAUGUGGGGAGCCAACCACAUAGCGGAGCUUUUACCUUAGUCCCAUGGCAACCUCUUCGUAUAAAACAUUAAUUUUUUUUCCUUUGUUAUGUACGAAAAUUCCUUUUCACUAUAUUCAAUAAAAUUGGUAUGCUGGUGUCGGUUUGUUCAAAGAAAGAAAGAAACAUCAAAUUUCACAAAAACCGACCACGAACCCUGCUGCGCACACGCGCAGUCCACCCGCCGCGUAGCAAGCAGAGCACCGUGCCACCCGCAGUGCAAAACCGGAAAUGCUUACCAUCGGCCGUCCGGCCAAAAAUAAAAAAUCGGACGUCUCAAUUUAAAAGAACAACAGUGUAGGUGUAUGGUAAAACGGUUGGUUAGGUGUACUGACAAACCAACAGAGCAUGCAUGUAAACAUGUUUCAAAAUUUAAAUGAUUUGUUCUCUUAAACUAUUUAUCUGAAUUUCAAACCAAUUAUAUCAUUAGAUUCGUUACAUUUAAAUCUUUAUAACAAGAUAUCACAUGACUAUAUUCCGAUGACUUUUAAUUUUACUUUUUAAAUGUUGCACACAUUGUUACUGAAAUAUUCCAACAAGUAUUUAUUGAUGUUUCACUAAUUCAUUAGCAAUGUUUCAUGCUAUCUUUUUUUAUAUGUUACAGCAAAUACGUUUUUUAUGUUUCAACAAUAAUUAUAAUUUAACAAUAAUUAUAAUUCGAUGUUUCAAUCUAAAUAUAAAAAAUGUUUCACUAGUCGGGACUUAAUGUUUGAUGUAAUAAUGAUUAUUGUUGCAGUCAAUACUUUUUAUAUGUUGUACCUCUUUAGAAUAAUUUGUGAAGUGGGUUGAAACAUCUCCACAAAAGAUGAAAGAAUUAUUUUUAAAUAGUUUAACAUAAGUUUGUUUUCUUCUAGAAUGCAUAUAUAUUUUUAUCAAAAUAUAUUCAUGUGAGAUCUUGUUAUAAAUGAUAGAUUGGAUAUAUAUUUUAGAAUAAAAUUUUGUUUAAAGUUUGAUUAAGAGAGAGAAUGUAAUGGUGCCUCAGGCCACCUUGGCAGCCAGCUCUACUCCUGCAUGCAUGCAUGCGACAACCUUGCCCCUCCAACGCGUCCCUGCAUACAGACGAAGAGCAGCAUUCGAUAUUUGAAAAAAAUAUUGAACACACGAUUUGUAACGUCCGAUUUAAAAAUAUUUCAACAUAAUUAAGUAUUUGUGCAAAAUUCUAAUGGUAUAAUUGAAAUUUUGAUCAGAUAUAUAAUUUUGGAGAAAAAUAUUUACAAUUUGAGGAAAAAAAUUAGGCACGUGUAAUAGGAGGGAGAGGGAGAGAGAGUAUGCAAGCAGCAGCGCAAGCAAAACACAAGCCGAACGGUCCGAUUUUUGGUGUGAUGCCGAACGGUCCGAGCCGUAGCGCUCUCCGCGCAAAACACAAGCUAUAGCUGGUGAGAUCGGCAGGGCUGGCGCGGCUGCGCGCGCGCGCGGCCCCGGAAUCCGGUGCGAGAGAGGGUGAUGGCGCCAUCUCGCUUGCCGGCUCCUCGAUCGUGGUUGCACCGGCCGGGAGCGGGGAGAGCGGUUGUGGUUGGGUUGCGGUCGCCGCUGCAGCUGCAAGCGAGCGUACGUGGUGGUGGCCCUGGACCUCACAUGCGCGCGGAGAGGCGACGAGACGAGUGCAACGCAGCGCAGCGCAGCCGUCGGCAUCCCACUUAUCGCCCGCACAUGCGCCCGAAUCCAUCAUGAGUCAGUUACUUUGUCCCUUUCCGCGGUUAACUGUUGAGACAAACGGAGAAAAAGAAAAAAAAAAGAAAGGGUCGGAGGUUGACGUCCCUUUCGGCGGUUUCCUCUCCUCACAAGAGAAAAGCAAAAGCAUCGGUGAACAUUUGCUUCCGCUAUUAUCCAUGCAUCCGAACAGAGCUAGCACAUCUUCCUUUUCGUUUUUCUCUACACCUUUCUCUAGUGUAACAAAGUUCAUCAAGCAUUUUGGUUGAAGACAAAUUGGUAGCCUAAUGUCCAAACGUACAUAUAAGUUACGAGUACUAACUUCAAGUAUUCAGUUUUUUGUUGAAGACAAAUUACUAGUCUAACCAAACCUUACAAUCAGGUUCAGUCAGUUCGACGCCCGUAAUUACGGCGAAAAUCCAGUAGGUCCCUCGGUGGGUGAACUUUUGCGGCGCCGUUGACUGCUCGCAUGUCUAGUUAACGGCUCGUUCAUCAUCACCAUGUAUCACGGUUAUAGAUUUUGUUACGAAAAGGAAAAUGAAAACUUUGGAGUGAAAAGGACUUGUAUUGUGUUGUGGGAUUAGUAUCCUUUGCGUUCAGUGGAAGCACAGCCACUGCAAUUAAGUACUCCUAAUACGUACGUGCUUUGGUCGUUGCAGGAAAUUAUGAUGUUCUUUUUCAGGAUUUCUAGAAUCCACCAGAAAAGAGAAGAAACCAAACUUUAAGGAACUUUUUUUAUCAAUAAAUAUAGGUCACCAGAAUUUGCAAAUGUUCCUUCAUUUUAAAAUUCUGGAAAGGCAGAGCAACAUUCCAAGUCAGAUCCUUUCAGUUUGUAGUAAAUCAAUUCAUUCACCUUUUUCAACCUCCAGGUCUUAAUAAUCUUAUUCAGAAGUCUUUCCACCGGAGCAGGACGUCGGUUAGGAGGUCAGGAUCGUAUUCCUAAUAGCAAAAGUGAGUCAGAUAGUAGAGUGCAUGCAUUGAGUCAGCUUUGAUCGAAAUAGCGAAAGUGAUAAAGUGAAACGAACAGAUACGGCGGUUAGGGCAUUUACAAAGGCACGUACACAAGAUAGAUUUUGGAGAUAUAUAUAUUUUAGAUUGAGAGACAUACAGAAGCAAAAGAUCCAGCUGGAUACCACACAAUAAACUGCAUGUUCAUGAAGAUUGAAGAGGAGUACCACUACUGUGCAUCAGACAAGGAGAAGGCACAGGUGAGAAAUGGAAGCAUUGAUCAUACUGAAUGCCAGGCAGCAAACUGUAUACUAGUAGUAUAAUUUAUGACCUUUGUUCUGGUUACACAAACAGUGACACUGGUACAGUGAGAGUGGGCGGGACAGCACAUGCAAACUUUGCCUCCUCCUUAUCCCACUCUCAACCUCAAGACACCGAGCGAUGUCUAUAUGACACCCAACAACCGACGUCUCACCUACUCAAAACGAACUCCUGAUGACAGAUUAAUGAACCAUCCAUGCAAAUCCAUACAAUACCGAGGGAGAGCUAAUCAAUACCCGAGCAGAUAAAAAUGGCCAAACGAUCGAUCUCAAAUGUCGUACGUAGAGGUAUGUAUAGUAGCUAAUGCUGCUUCUGCUGCUGCUAUAGUAGGCAUGAAUUAUGCUUGUUCUUGAUCAUUGGCUUAGCUGCUGUACUGGACGAAAGAACGGUAGACGGCCAUGGGGGCCCAGUUGGCCGGGAUGACCUGGCUGGCGACGAGCUGCUUGCCGGACUCGUUGGUGAUGCGGAGCGAGAAGGGCGCCGUGAGGCGGUGGUUGGAGUCGAGCCUCCAGAUGGAGCCCCACGACUCGCGCAUCGGCGUCCACGACUGGGAGUUGGCCUCCAUGAGAUCCACCUGCACCACGUCGCCGUCGCCGUCCUCGUACUCAACCAGCACCGCGAAGUACACCGGGUUCGACCCCUCCUCCACGUGGAACGUCACCUUCAGCCCAGGGAAGUUGCACGGCACCCUGCAUGGCCAAACCCCCAACAAUCCAUGUGUUAGUGUUACAUUCUUAUCAGAUUAAUUCAGAGUGAGUAUGCAAGGCAGUAUAGUAGUAGGUGAUGACAGGCAGAGGCGACAAAUUGUAAAGCGGCUGCAUGUACUUAAUUAAAAGAGUUUUAGUGGUAUUUGUGCGAUCAGAAUCUGCUUGGGUCCCGGAGGACAUACAAGCAAUGUCGCUGUCGGGUUUGCACCCAAAAGUACGAGGGCUCCACGACGGCACAAGCUAGCAACUGCAAGGCAAGGGGUGGCCAUGAUGAUGCUUCUGUUCGUGCAGCCUGCAGGAGCUACUAGCCUACUACUAAACUAUUACCUCUUGAACUGGAUGUCGAUGAUGCCGGCGUGGCGGAGCUGGUCGUUCUGCCCCGGCUUGGCCAUGGCGCCGAACGCCGUGCCGCUCAGGUCGAAGUGGUACUUGGAAACGGGGUAGUAGUUCAUGUCGGUGAUGAUCACCGUCUCCGGGUUGCCGGAGCAGGCAGGGUGGUUGACGCAUCUUAUCUGAAGAAAAAAAGAAGCCAUGCACCAGCAACAAACAGUCAACAACACUGUGAAUACCUACGUCUCGAUCAGUCGCUUCGCAUCAACGGCUCAACGCCCGUCGUCAUUGCAAAUUUGAGCUG